RNAcentral lists this long non-coding RNA (902 nucleotides) under Brachypodium distachyon (stiff brome). Its description in RNAcentral is "long non-coding RNA (BDIS_LNC001805)". The record is from RNAcentral. Lineage: Eukaryota; Viridiplantae; Streptophyta; Magnoliopsida; Poales; Poaceae.
UUUAGGCUGGGCGCACCAAAUGUGCGCCUAAGGUUUAGGCGCUGCUUAUGCUGGUUGGUAGAUCGGUGUGUUUGGCCCUAGCGUGAGAAUGUUUGGAAGAUCAUGGGAUGGAUUUAGCAACUCGCGGUUUGGUUGGAUUUAAGAUUCUAGGGUUUAGUUACUGCUGAAUUGGAGCAUGCGCUCGUCAGGUUUUUUUUUUUAUCGGAUUUACCGACAUGGGUGUCUAAGGCUGAAUACUACUCGCGUCCAUACGUUUAGAGGAUUUGUGUUCAUUGCGAGGAUUCCAUAGUAAAAAGACGCAUAAAUUGCGUACUGUGCUUAGGUCCAACCGUUGGUUGCUUCAGGUGCGCAUAUAAAAUUCGCAACCACCGCCUGGCCUUAGAAACAGUGCCUUCAAUUUUGAGAAGUUUCGUGUGUACUGCAUUGAUAUGGAUUGGAGAAUACAUGGUGAUGUUUAGCUGAGUGCUAAGCUAGGUUAUGCAGUUCUCAGUUUAGCUACCAUCAUUUAGGGAUAAGCUUUGGAUGCAAGGUUGUGAUCUUCUGAUAACUAUCUGAAUAGGAUGUCAAGGAGCCUCACCUAUCUGUUGGGAUAAUGGAACUAUGAAACUGGUAAAUACAUGGUGAUGUUUAGCUGAGUGCUAAGCUAGGUUAUGCAGUUCUCAGUUUAGCUACCAUCAUUUAGGGAUAAGCUUUGGAUGCAAGGUUGUGAUCUUCUGAUAACUAUCUGAAUAGGAUGUCAAGGAGCCUCACAUAUCUGUUGGGAUAAUGGAACUAUGAAACUGGUAAAACAAGCACAGUUGCUGCUCACUGGAUAAGAACACUGCAAAAGUUAAUCAAAAUAAUGUCGUGAAAUUUAGACACAGUGUUCAUGUCAUCUUUCUAAUGCAUUGGCACUUGCUGCU